This 37-nucleotide ribosomal RNA is filed under the name uncultured Laccaria. RNAcentral describes it as "partial 28S ribosomal RNA". Lineage: Eukaryota; Fungi; Basidiomycota; Agaricomycetes; Agaricales; Tricholomataceae. The record is from RNAcentral.
UGACCUCAAAUCAGGUAGGACUACCCGAUGAACUUAA